UAAAGAGGCAGUAGCUUAGUCAAUUCAUAAUGGUUUACCAAUAGCUGAUGCAAUAGAAAAUAAUGCUUCCUUACAAUGCAUGAAGUGGACAGGCAAGUAAGGAAAUGAAAUCCAUACUGGAACUAUAAGAGACUCCUCGGAACAUCGAAAAUAGGUGGUCCAUUUAAAAAUUAUCAUGGCACUCCCAUUGAUGUACCAUGUCUGCCUAACCCAUAGGCGU
Molecule: long non-coding RNA, 220 nt
Filed under: Citrus sinensis (sweet orange)
Lineage: Eukaryota; Viridiplantae; Streptophyta; Magnoliopsida; Sapindales; Rutaceae
Description: long non-coding RNA (CSIN_LNC005234)
Source: RNAcentral